UAAUGUAUGGGGAUCUGCCCGAUAGAGGGGGAUAACUACUAGAAACGGUGGCUAAUACCGCAUAAUGUCUACGGACCAAAGCAGGGGCUCUUCGGACCUUGCACUAUCGGAUGAACCCAUAUGGGAUUAGCUAGUAGGUGGGGUAAAGGCUCACCUAGGCGACGAUCUCUAGCUGGUCUGAGAGGAUGAUCAGCCACACUGGGACUGAGACACGGCCCAG
Molecule: ribosomal RNA, 220 nt
Filed under: uncultured bacterium
Lineage: Bacteria
Description: partial 16S ribosomal RNA
Rfam family: Bacterial small subunit ribosomal RNA
Source: RNAcentral